AUGACUUUCUUUCCAAAGUAUCCGGGUGAGACAGAUGGUCCUGAACCCCAACAUUUAGGUCCAGUGGAACCGGAACUGUAAACUGUCUGUGGUUCAUUGAUGGUACUUGCUGGCAUGACGGAUUUUCAGGAUUACUCGUAUCACCUUUUGUACCUUGUGCAUCAUCAAUUGUACCACGUUUUGAAAGAUAACUCCUUGGGUCAUCAUUAAAACUGUUUUUACCUAUGUGGGGUACGGUUUUGUUACUUUUUAC
Molecule: long non-coding RNA, 253 nt
Filed under: Helianthus annuus (common sunflower)
Lineage: Eukaryota; Viridiplantae; Streptophyta; Magnoliopsida; Asterales; Asteraceae
Description: hypothetical non coding rna
Source: RNAcentral